CAUGAUGGAAACUGAUAAAAUAUUUGCGAAAGAACAAAGAAGUGCUAUGGCAGAACUUUCAAAUAUUCUAUCAAGUCGUUCAAAUAAAUAUACUAAUAGAGAAAAAAAGAUUAAUAAGGGAUUUGAAUGGAUAAUUCAAGGUGGCGACUGUCUGACAGUCACCGGGAUCAGGUUGAUCUGGCGACUUGUGCUAAGUUUUAUCUUUUACCACAUGUUGAUUAAUUAAAUAGGAAUACAAUAUUGUGACCGAAAUCAUUAUUUAGAACUACCGUUGCUCGUUUCCUAAUUCAGCCAACGCAAAAAUUCCAUAAGGGUGAUUUCCUGCGUAAAGACAACGGAGUUACGUCACGCACCAGCAAGAUAUCGUGUGUCGAGCAGACCGUGUUCCCCCGUACGUCUCCUCGAAUACAAAGUGUUCCUGCUUUCUUUGCUUACACUUUAUUCUUGUGUUUGUCAAAAUCCGAAAGUCACGCACGCGCUAGACUUUCGCAAACGAGUGUUUAGAUAACUGUAGCAUUGG
Apis florea (little honeybee) is the source of this 520-nucleotide long non-coding RNA. The record is from RefSeq and is a predicted model, not a curated record. NCBI's taxonomy places the organism in Eukaryota, Metazoa, Arthropoda, Insecta, Hymenoptera, Apidae.